UCAGGGGCAGAGCUUGCCCUGGGCACCGUUUCCUGCCCCUGCGCCACUGCGCUACUGCACCACUGCGCUCACACACACAGCUUGUAUUGCCAGCAACUCUAUCCUUCCUUGGAAGCUGUUUACAAGCUCCUAGACUCCUCGAAUCACCCUUCUUUCAGAAUGAAAGCCAACCAAAAAACAGAACCGAGAAUAAAGCAAAGCACCGAUUUUAUUUAGCUGAAAGGCAACUCUGAAAUGCCCCUGCCCCAAAAGACAUCAGAUCUGCAGCAAGGGAAACUGGGAAAGAGAACGGGGAUUAGAUAUUGGGGGUGAAGGGGUCCGUUUUUGGAGUGAUUUUUAAAAUGCAAAUAAGUAUAAGCAUUUAAUCUAUAGCUAAGCUAAUUUACUGGGAGUCCCCACUUUAGGAACUAUGAGGGCUUGCAAGGAUUUAAUGCAGACAAACGUUUUUAAAAGGAGGGAGCGGUGAAGGGAUUUGCCCGCUGAGUUUGGAAAGCAGUAGGGAGCAGCUGCUUGUCUUUAGCAAAGAACAACCUUUUAUAAACCAAGUCCAGGUGUGUUUCCCGCAAGCACUGGGAGGAUAUCUGACUAGCAAAGCAGCUACUCUGGAGAAAGGGAGGAAAGCUCAGGCUACAGUUUAAAAAGCAAACUGAUGUUGUGCACGCCCUCUGCCCUGCCCCGGCAGCAGGUCUCUCUCUCUCUGUCCCACGCUUGCUCUCCCAAUGGCCCCCGCCCGCCCUCUUUCAUAGAUGAUCUUUGCCGAUUAUAAUACAUUUGAGCCUUUGGGGGAGAGGGAGGAGGAAAAUGCUAUCCAGGACUGGGACAGAAGGGAGCUGCAAGGCAAAGCAGCAGGGUAGGGCACGUGGCGCGACACACUGACUGAGACAUCAUGAUUCGAGCAGUUUACUACUUGCUGGAGAGUCAGUCAGUGUGUAAUGCAGCUGGGACGAAUGGCCCUUGGGCGGCGGCAGCAGCACAGCAGCACUCAAAGAACAGGCAGCCAGCACGCCAAUUAGAGGUGGUGAGCAGCUACAAGGGACUGAGUCAGGCAGGCAGAAUGCAGACCGGCCGAGGCACUCAGAGCAGCCUGCAGCAGUGCAGUGGGAAGGUUCAGGUUGGAAGGAGAGGAGCAGCGUCGUGAGCGGGGGAAGAAGGAAGCGGAAGUGCCGCUUGCCCAGGGGGCCUUGUCCACCCUCUGCAUGGGGCAUGCCAGCGAAUAGGUGCCCCCGCCCGCUGCAGCCAUAAACCUCUGCGCCUGCGUGAGUGGGGGGUGGGGUGGCUGGGCACAGGUGCUGCCCGGAGCCAGACUCUGGAGAGACGCCGGCGGUGAUGUGAGCAGUGGGCCCACUGGUGCACUGGGUUGAUUUUUGGGGGGUGGGGGAUUGAAAUUUUUUUUUUUUUAAUGUGGUGGUGGUGGCGGCGGCGGCCUGGCAGAGGGGCCAGGCAGGCAUUUCUGUGCCCCAAGUCAACUGGCGCCCAGGGCAUGUGCCCUGCCUGCCCCACCCCUGAUUACACCUCUGCCCUAGCCUGCCCAGUGCCCACCCAGUUAUUUCUUUGCCCAUCAUUCGUGAAUUGAAACACACAUUGUUUGAUUGACUUGUGGCGCAGUGGUGGCUACCCUGGUGGCGCAGUGGUAAAACUGCCCCCCUGUAACCAGAAGGUUACAAGUUCGAUCCUGACCAGGGGCUCAAGGUUGACUCAGCCUUCCAUCCUUCCGAGGUCGGUAAAAUGAGUACCCAGAAUGUUGGGGGGCAAUAUGCUAAAUCAUUGUAAACCACUUAGGUAGCUUCCAGCUAUAGAGUGGUAUAUAAAUGUAAGUGCUAUUGUGUGUAGGUAGGCCCAGCACAAUUCCGUUACUUUUUCAUCUUCUGUGCCUGUGAUAUUGACAACAACAGCAUCAUUGUUGUUCCAGCAAUCCUAAUCUGUGUAAUUAAAUUUUGAUAAAUUUGUAACUAACUUCCAUUCCCAGAACCACAGACAGAGAAUAACUGUAAUCCCUGUUAUUCGUGGCGAGUGCACUGAGCCAGCCUUAAAGAACUCCUCCACAGUCAGUGCACUGUGUGCGCACAGCAGUGCCACAAGCUAAGUGGCAUUAUUUUAUUUCUUGUUCUGUGGCAUCCUGCUUCUGUUGUGUCACACACACCUAACUCCCAGUCCCUCUAGCUAAACUCUGUGUGAUACACAUUACACAGCAACCUCUGAUUUAGCCAGCCACAGAAUUUGUGCCAAACAGCCUUAAGCAAGGAGGCACUCCACUCCAGUCCACAAGUCAUCACAGCAGCCCCUGUUUUUGGCCCUCUGAAUCUACCUGCCCCCUGAGACAACCCAAUCCACUCCACCACCACCCCCUUUUUACAUUCUAAAAAGAAGCCCCAAAACCAUGGCUGGGAGGGCUGGUAGAGCAGCAGAAAGAGGCAGGUUGCAAGGAAGGGGGAGGCUUUUCUUCCCUGCUGGUCGUGGCAGGGGGCGGCCAGAGGGGCUUACUCCCCGAGUCACCCCCGGCCCUGCUUCGGCGUGCAGGCUAGACUUCUCGAGUCAACCUGGCCCUAUGCCAGAGCCUGCAGCAGGGCAGAAUUUAGGGGGGAGGGCCUCCCAAUUUGCCAGGGAAGAAGAUCUUCCUGUGGCUGCUGAGGAGGUGGUGCUGGUGGAGGAGGCUGGCAGUCCAGCCAGAUCCACCUUGCCGCCCUCCCCACCGGUCCCUGUUGGGGGGUGGGGGGCCCAGGGUUGCAUCUGAGGAGGCUCAGGAGGAGGGAAGCCCACUUGUCCCUGGGCCUUCCCAGGCCAGCUCUGAGGUCAGUGGUGGUGGUGGCAUGCCCGAGAAGGAACCAGCAAAGCUGCCACCUCCCAAGCGACCUCGUGUCGCAGGAGAGUCCAGCAGUGUGGACUGAGAUCACUUUGAGCUUCGCCCUGGUGAUCCCACCCAUGCUGAGUGCACCGACUGCAAGGCGCUGGUCAGCAGAGGCAAGGACCCUAAGCACUUCACUACCUUGGGUCUGUUGUUGCACCUGCGCCAGCGGCACCCAGGUGGGGAGACCUCUGCUGGCAGUGGCAGUAGGCACAGUGCCUCGACUAACAGUAGUGGCAGCAAGCGGCCAGUGGCUCCUGCUCCUAGGCAGGAAAAACUGACCGAUCGUCAUCAGUGGAUGCAAUCUCUGGGAAAGCGGUCUGAUCACCCAAAAGCACAUCUCGUGGCUCGGGCCAUUGCUGAGAUGAACGCUUUGGAUAACCAGCCGAUUUCCAUUGUUGAGAAUGUCGGCUUCCACCGUCUGCUCCAGCUACUUUCCCCAGAUUACAAGAUCCCUUCAAGGAGCACCUUCAGCAGGAGGGUGGUCCCCUCCUUGUACCAUGCGUGCAGGGAGGCUGUGUUGGCCCGGUUGCGUGCAGCUGGGCCCAGCACCAGUGUGCAUUUCACUGCGGAUAUCUGGACUAGCCGCAGCGGGCUGCACACUGCCUUCAUGUCCCUGACAGCCCACUGGUGGGGGCAUGGGGGUGAGGGGACAUCUGGCUCUGCUGGCACUGUAUCCAGCUCCUCCCAUGCAUGCACGCCUUCUUGGGCAGUGUUGCAUGUGGAGGCGAUGGAUACAGACCACAGGUCGGGUGAGUUGGCCGCCAUCAUGGACCGCCAGGUGGGGGGUUGGCUGACUGUGGAGUCAAGCCUCUGACGAGGCUUCAUGGUGACAGACAAUGCAGCUAACAUCAGCAAGGCAGCUAGGCAGGUUUACGGUGUGAACAUGGCAUGCGUUGCGCACACCUUGAACCUGGUGGUGCAGGAUGCGCUUGGGCUCAAGGAGGCGGCGAAGUCCAAGCUGUGUGCGAAGGGUGUUAGUUAAGCUAAGGAUCCUGCGGCUCCCGUGGCCGCUCUUGUGGAGCAGUGCCGCAAGAUAGCGGGUGGAGCAUGUGGAGUACAAAGUUAACAAUCAAUGGUGAGACAUUUGGACAGGUUAGCAUUAGAAGAGACAUAUUCCAAGGGGACUCACUAUCCCCUCUGUUGUUUGUAAUUGCCAUGACUCCACUUUCACAAAUACUAAACAAAACAGGCCUCAGAUACCAAACAUCUAAAACAUCAAGUCAAAUCAACCAUCUGCUCUACAUGGAUGAUCUGAAGUUGUAUGGAAAGUCCCAGUCAGAAAUCGAAUCACUGUUAAACACUCUCCAUAUAUUCAGUAGCGAUAUAGCAAUGGAGUUUGGACUAGACAAGUGUGCUGCAUUAAUAAUGAACAGAGGGAAAAUAAGAAAAACAGAAGGAAUAGAGCUGCCCAAUGGAAGCAAGAUCAAGAACCUGGAAGACAAAGAACAUUACAAAUACUUGGGCAUUCUCCAGGCUGAUAACAUUGCACACACUGAAGUUAAAAGAAAAAUUGGAAGUGAAUACAUCAGGAGAGUUAGAAAAAUCCUCAAGUCCAAACUCAAUGGCGGGAACACCAUACAAGCCAUAAACACCUGGGCUAUACCUAUUAUCAGAUACACUGCAGGAAUAAUAGACUGGACCCAGGCAGAGCUGGAGACGCUAGAUCAUAAGACCAGGAAAAUAAUGACCAUCAAUCAUGCUCUGCACCCCCACAGUGAUGUAGAUAGGCUAUACCUCCCUCACAGCUCAGGUGGAAGAGGAAUGCUGCAAGUCCAUCAAACGGUAGAGGAGGAGAAAAGAGGCCUUGAAGAAAAUAUCAAGGACAGUUAAGAAGAUGCACUUCAAAUGGUCAAUAACGCAAAACUAUUCAACACCAAUGAGAGAAAGCAGGCCUACAAGAAAGAACAAGUCAAGAACCGAGCAGAAAAAUGGGAAAAGAAGCCACUGUAUGGUCAAUAUUUGCACAAUAUAAGUGGAAAAUCAGACAUCACCAAGACCUGGCAAUGGCUUCAGAAUGGCAACUUGAAGAAAGAAACAGAGGGUUAAAUACUGGCUGCACAAGAACAGGCACUAAGAACAAAUGCAAUAAGAGCAAAAGUCAAAAAAUCCACAACAAACAGCAAGUGCCGCCUUUGGAAAAAAGCAGAUGAAACAGUGGACCACCUAAUCAGCUGUUGUCAAAAGAUCGCACAGACUUACUACAAACAAAGGCAUGACAAGGUAGCAGGGAUGAUACACUGGAACAUCUGCAAAAAAUACAAGCUACCUGUAGCCAAAAAUUGGUGGGACCAUAAAAUUGAAAAAGUUGAAGAAAAUGAAGAUGUAAAAAUAUUAUGGGACUUCCGACUACAAACAGACAAGCAUCUGCCACACAAUACACCAGACAUAACUGUAGUCGAGAAGAAAGAAAAACAAGUUAAAAUAAUCGACAUAGCAAUACCAGGGGAUAGCAGAAUAGAAGAAAAAGAAAUAGAAAAAAUCACCAAAUACAAAGAUCUACAAAUUGAAAUUGAAAGGCUGUGGCAGAAAAAGACCAAACUAAUCCCAGUGGUAGUUGGCGCCCUGGGUGCAGUUCCCAAAGACCUUGAAGAGCACCUCAACACCAUAGGGGCCACAGAAAUCACCAUCAGCCAGUUACAAAAAGCAACUUUACUGGGAACAGCCUAUAUUCUGCGAUGAUAUCUAUAACAAUAGCAACAACAUUGACCAUAAAAUUCAGCCAUCCCAGGGAAGGACUCGAUGUCUGGAUAAAACAAACCAGUCAAUAACACCUGUUUGACUGUGUAAAUAAAUAAUAAUAAUAGAACUUGAAGUAACCCAGUGGCAGUAGAUUCAGGACAGACUGCUUUGCACAAUGCAUCUUUACGUUGCGCGAUUCCCUUCGAGAUGUCGGGAGUGCCACUGACUUCACUUAAGAAUUACGCCAAUUAAUGGAAGAUAGGUCUGUCGAUAGACAGGUGAACUCUGGGAACCCCCGUGAAUGAAUGCAGGUAUCCCUCUGAGGGCUGGAUGCUGAGGAAAAACAGAAUAAAUAACAGGGAGAGGGGGCGAUGACUUGCCCCAGCUUGUGCCCCAUUUUAUCCUCCAAUGCAAGUCUCUGGAAAAAAGAUACUUUCCUCCUGCUCAGUUGCCUAUGUGCUGUGAGCUUUGGAGUUGCUUCUUGUGAAUGAGUGAGUUUUUUCAGAGAAUUGGAAUGGAAAGUGACAGACUGUACUUGCUGCUUAUAUGUCUGACGUACAACUGUGCUAGUGGUUGGUUGGUGGGUUGGGUAUUUUUCUACCUCCCCUUUAUGAUACUAUUUGGAAAGAAAGUCACUUCUGCUGUAUUAGAUUGACCCGCCUGGAUCUUGUGUUCUUUCUUUCUUUCUUUCUUUCUUUCUUUCUUUCUUUCUUUCUUUCUUUCUUUCUUUCUUUCUUUCUUUCAUGACGCCUAGAACUACUGAUGGAUGGGCUAAAAGCCCAAAUUCCAAAACAGCCAUCCCAAUUCCUAGAGGAAAGGAACAUAGGAAACUGCCAUAUACUGAGUCAGACCAUUGGUCCAUCUAGCUCAGUAUUGUCUACACAGACUGACAGCGGCUUCUCCAAGGUUGCAGGCAGGAAUCUCUCUCAGCUCUAUCUUGGAGAAGCCAGGGAGGGAACUUGAAACCUUCUGCUUUCCCAGAGCGGCUCCAUCCCCUGAGGGGAAUAUCUUAACAGUGCUCACACAUCAAGUCUCCCAUUCAUAUGCAACCAGGACAGACCAUGCUUAGCUGUGAGGACAAGUCAUGCUUGCUACCACAAGACCAGCUGUCCUUGUAGACCAGGUUUAUGUGUCUGAUGUACAACUUUGCUAGUGGUUGGUUGGUGGGUUGGGUAUUUUUCUAUCUCCCCUUAAUGAUACUAGUUGGAAAGAAAGUCACUUCUGCUGUAUUAGAUUGACUGGCCUGGAUCAUGUGACAUUCUUUCUUUCAUGACAGGCUAGAACUACUGAUGGAUGGGCUAACAGUCCAAAUUCCAAAACAGCCAUCCCAGUUCCUAGAGGAAAGGACUCUCUCUCCCUCUCGUUUUAUUGAAUGAAAUGGCUUAACUUCCCGAAAGACUUACCUGGAGUCUGUGAUGAGCCGGAUGAGGGAGAACAAACUGAGGCUGAAUCCAAGGAAGACAGAGCAUCUUUCACCAACUACAAAUGAAAAGAUUCCUAAGUUAAUGCAAACACUACACUGUGCUGCCAAUAGAGUGCAGCCCGUCAAGCUCGUCACUCCCACCCCAAUAUCUCAACUGCCUAAAAUCACAAAAAAUCUUAGUCAUCAGCUCUGAUUCCAAAAAAGGUGAUUUUGGUAUUUGCAGACCCUAAGCCUGCACAGUGACAAAGCGGGGAACAUGAUGCUCCCAACAUAGACUCGAGAGACCGCUCCAUUCCCAACAAGAGAGACACCAGAGAAGUCACACCAAGAUCACCCUCCAAUCCUGAACGUGACUCCAACCCAGCUCAAAUGGAGGAUUAUACCAUCAACCCUAGCUGGUCUUCUCAACACCGACUGAAAAGCAUGCCCUGCACGAUACCAACUAUAUAGAAGAGACCCUACGUGAUACCAACGCUCUCCGGGUCACAGGGAAUCCCCUCACCAUCUGUACUCUCCUAAAUGCUAUUCCAUAGGAUCCGGUGUAUUGCUACUGAGAACGUCGACACUGAGACUACGUUCCAUCUGAUCAUGCCUGAUCGUUCCACUUACAUCUUCGAUGACAGAUCUGUCACUGAUGAUAGAGAACGCUAUCUCCACCCUUGCUCUUGGGCUCCACAUCGAAACCAAUAUCCGGGGAGAUUGCACCAUCCAGACUCUCGGUCCUGAUCAUACUCUCCUCAGCACUGCAGGUCUUGGUCUCAGUCAAGAGAUAAGAGAAGUCAACCACCUAAGCAGCUGGACUUUGACCUCCUACCACCGGAUUCCUCGACUGAAGAAUCCGCCUCAGAGGAAGAUGCAGAAACAGCCCUGGACAUCGCAUGGGGUUCCACACCUUCAGAUCUAAUUGAAGAUCCAAAGCCUCUGCCUCCCUCGGAGUACCUGAAGCUCUUCACUGACCAAGUGGCCUAUAUGGCUACCUCUUUACAUAUCCAGGUUAACGAACCUCCUAAAUCUCCUCCUGAUCCCAUUUUUGGGCCAACUGAUGCUGGAACUUUGCACUCUUUCUUCCUACCACUGAACUCUGCUUGAAUGGACAUUGUCAACGCUUGCUGGGCAUUUUUGCCACCUACCUCUCAGAAGCUGGAAGGUUUUUUUACAAGGUUCAAGCCAGGGACAAUCAGUUCCUUCUGUGCCAUCCUACUCCUCACUCCAUUAUAAUGGACUCUGCUCAGUCCUGUUCAAAGAACAGAAUCCAUUCAGCAGCAUCUGACACAGAAGGCAGAAAAGCAGAUGCCCUUGGGCCUGUCCCCUUUCCAAACAGCUCCUCCAUAUACGUCUCGCCAUGCCACUGACUGUUCAUUCAAUGUUUGCUGCAGCAACUCCUCGCUGGCACACAUGGAUGUGUUCACCUACAUUGGCACCUGGAACAAGAGGAAGAAGAAGAGAGAAUUUGACCUUUUGAUGGCCAGGCCCUUGUUGGAAAGGAGACAAAAUGGAAAGGAGACAAAAACUGAAAAAUAUGGCAAGACCUAUGACCUCCCAACAACCUGCCUACAAUUCCUCAAGGGGCAACAAAUCCUCUUCUUCUUCUGCUGCUGCUGCUAUAUCAUUUUGUCCUUCCAGCUACUCUCAAUCAACUAACCGUUCCUUUCGUCCUUCUAGGACCUCCCUAUUUCAGAAAAGACAGGUCUCCUUCGUAAAAUCACAACCUUCCAAAUCUCAACCACCAGUGCAUAGCAAGUGCUCGGGACUCAAGCAGCUGCAAAUAUUAUUCUUUGAAGCACUCCACACACAAAUCGGGCUUUGUCUCCCAAAUUCUAGCUUAUCUCGAUGUAUUUCUGGGUUUUUUAAAUGCUGCUUUUAAUGAGAUUUUCUGAAAACACCAGAGCAAAUAGGGAGAGGCAUUGACGUAGAAUCAUUCACAUGAGAAGAGGGAUAUAAUCUUUUAGGAAUGCAGAUAGAGGCUUUAGAAAUCUCUCUCCCCACCCCGCCAUUGGCUAGAAGGAAAAUACGGAGGCACGCGAUGUGAACUUGCACCAAAAGAAAACCUGAGAGCAGAGGGGAGGGGCUGCUUCCCUCCUUGUCGCGAGUGUGAUUCGAAGUGUCUUCACUCAACAUUGACCCUGAAGCAUGAAGCCAGGUGCGAAUAACUCCCUGGCCUUCCAGGGUUUUCUAACGGCUUUACAUGUUUUCGUUGUUCAUGGUUUUAGACUGUUUUUAAAAUUGUUUUGUAAGGAUUGUUUUUAAAAGUGCCUAGGUAAUGAGAGCAGCAGUAGCCAUCUUGCUGCCCCUCGGGCAUCCCAAUAAUCUGCCCAUUGAGGGAACUGCCUGACCUUGCCUCAUGGAAGGACCGCCCUUACCUCUCAUCACUGCUCCAUUAAGGGUGUGGAGAACUCACUUUACAUAGGCCUCUGGAUUAAAGGCAGCAAAGUUAGUUGUCCAAUCCAGAUCCCAUACUUUACAAUAGCCUGCUGCAAUGUGUUCAUUUUUGGAAAGGCUGACAUCCUGACCCCCAGUUCAUUCUUGUGCUGAAGAGUGUGUGUGUGCUUCCUUCCUUCCUUUCCUGCUUGCACAUGUCCUGGGCUUCACUGAGUCCAUGAGUCACUCUUAGGGGGCAGAAGUCAGGGACUGGAUUGUGUCCAAGUGCCUUGUUUUAAACUAUUAAGCCAAGCUCACUGCCAUUGCUUGGAAUGCAUUGCAAUAGGAAGCUUGAGAUUCCCACUUUAGCCUUCUGGAGGGGAUGUCUGGCCAGUUUCCCAACUUAGCACCAAAUGAAGGAUGCCCAGAAGCCACAUGUGUGGUCACACAUGGGUGGUGAAGGGGAGCAGGAGAACAUUCGCCAUCCAUGGGUGCUCUUUCUGGGCCUUCCUGACUGAACGCCAUCAGGUAUAGAGAUAGAAUGCAAGUACAUAUAGGAACACAGGAAUAUAGGAAGCUGCCAUAUACUGAGUCAGACCAUUGGUCUAUCUAGCUCAGUAUUGUCUACACAGACUGGCAGCAGCUUCUCAAAAUCUGCAGAGAGGAAUCUCUCUCAGCCCUGUCUCGGAGAUGCUGCCAGGGAGGGAACUUGGAAGCUAGAAGCUCUUUCCAGAGCAGCUCCAUCCCCUAAGGGAAAUAUCUUACAGUGAUCACACAUGUGGUCUCCCAUUCAUAGGCAACUGUGGCAGACCCUGCUUAGCUAAGGGGAAAAGUCAUGCUUGCUAACACAUGUGGUCUCCCAUUCAAAUGCAACCAGGUUGGACCCUGCUUAGCUAGGGGGCCAGGUCAUGCUUGCCACCACAAUACCAGCUCUCUUUGCUAGACCAGCUCUCCUCUCUAUGCAAGAACAUCAUCCUCUAUGCAAGAACAUAGCCUGGGACUCUAGUCCGAUCUAGAAUGGGACCCAUCCAUAUGUGCUUCUAUCCAUUCUGAAAAUAAAGCCAGCCGCUCCAGAACAAAUGGAGGCAGGCCCAUAUUAGAACUGCUUUGAAUCAGAGCUUCAUAUGGUCAUAGAAUCUGCACUCGAGGCUCUGAGGAAGAGAUCUGGUCUUGUGGAAGGGAGCAUGGAUUGUUCUUUUUGCUAUGCAGGGUCCAUGCUGGUUUGCUUUUAGAUGGGUGACUACAUCCAAGAGCCAGCGUGGUGCAGUAGUUAGAGUGCUGGACUAGGACCGGGGAGAUCCGAGUUCAAAUCCCCAUUCAGCCAUAAGACCUGCUGGGUGACUCUGGGCCAGUCACUUCUCUCUCAGCCUAACCUACUUCACAGGGUUGUUGUGAGGAGAAACUCAAGUAUGUAGUACACCGCUCUGGGCUCCUUGGAGGAAGAGCGGAAUAUAAAAUGUAAAAAUAAAUAAAAUACAUGGGAGCACUCUCUGCUGUAAGAUAUUCUCCUUCAGGCCGGAGUGGGCAACCUUGGCUGUCCAGGUGUUGAGGAACUACAACUCCCAUCAUCCCCAGCUAAAAUAAAUUGUGAUUGGAGUUCCUGGUAUGGUUUCUGAAAACGCCCUUUCUUUAUGUCCCUGGGGACAUUUUUCAUUGUGAUUUCUGCUACCACGGCCUGAUUUUGAUCCAGGGCAAAGUAAGCAGCUUCUUCCAAAAUCUGGCAUCAUCUCCUUUACACACAUUUCUCCUAUGAUCAUUGGACUGACUUGAGCAACUCAGAUUCUCAGGGGAGACACGACCUGGAAAGCAAGCCAAUGACCGUAAGGCAAAUUUGCAUGGGGGGUGUCACUCUGUGGCUCCAGAGGAUUGAAGAGCCGACAUGGAAGGUCCCACCCUGUUAUCUGAUGGGUUCAGAAAGCUCGCUCCUCAAGAGAGAGCUUACCAUGGCCCGGGCUCUGUGCUUUGUCGCCAGACCCCGGCCCCCAAGAAGACACGGACAACAAAUGUAGUGGGUAAAAGGGGUCACAGCUUUAUUGAUAAACUAUAAUUAGAUUAGCGGACUGGAUAGGGUUAAGCCCACCUCCCCAAGACAGUGCGGGGCCUAGCAAUGACCGGGUUUGGACUACCGUGUCCUCCCCCGUGCCUUGCUUGGGCGACACACCCUGGCUCAGGAAGUCAGCAGGUGGAAAACCUUCUCCUUUACCUUCAUGGCCAACCCCCAAGGGGGCCUGGAUCCUUCCAGAUCUUCGCACACCCCGGACCACACAGCCCAUGGGUAUGUGAAGUGCCUGAAGCAGGUUUCAUGGCGAAUCUUCCUCCCCGGGCUGCACAAACCACAAGUGAACGAUUGACCAAUCACCCGUUUUGACUGUCCAAGGGUACUCACUGAUGUUCCAUCUCAUCUACUUGCCACCCAUCCCGCACUGUCUCUGCCAAGCCGUGACCUAACUAGCUAACCAUUGAUACUAGUGUAGCAGGACGGAGUAGGCGGGAGAAAACCCCCAACAUGGCCAAUGCGUUGGGAGCCAAAGAUUCCUACUUGGCCCCCAAGGAAUGCAACCAGCCUCUAGACUCGCUCUACUCCUAGGGGAAGGAGGGUGGAGGAAUCACGCUCCAAACUGAUCCUUCGGGGUGGGGAGCUGCCGGAACAGCAACCUUAGCCCCGCCCACCAGACGCUGAGGCCCAAUCUGGAGCCUCUUGGGGCCCAUGCUAGGGAGGUGGGACAAAUCACCCUUCCCCCAGCACGAGGCCAGGGGAAGGGGCAUUCUUGCCCUUCUCAGUUAUUACUCAGGUAAGGGAGUAGAGGACUCUCUUAACAUUGGCUUCCAGGCCAAUCUAUUUCUAUUGUCUAUUUAUGCUUCAAUCAAGGUCCAAAAUAUGUCUUUCUCUACCCAAGAACAUAGUCUGGAACUCUGGGAUGGUUUAGAGACAGGCCCCGUUCAUAUCCGUUUUCAUCCAUCAAGAAGAAAAUGCACCCUCUGUAACAAACAAAAUUAAUCAGUGGAAGAGUGUGGUAUAUCCUCCCAAUGGCCAUUUAUUGCCUUUCAUUUUUCAUUCUUUUUUGAGAUUAGCUAACAUUUAUUACAGUCCACGACCAGAAAACAAAAACAGAAACAAAAAGAAAAAAUAUAUACAAUUACAGGAAAUGAAUGCAACUUAUGGCAACUUACAUUGCAUCAAUUUAUGGUUUUACGUUUACAUUAAAUCAUGGAUCAAGCUUGGUCUCAUGCCAUUGAGGUCAACCUUGACCUCAUGUCAUUGGCUGAGCUCAGGUAUCACCUCCUCCAGUGGAAGAGUUCCAUUUUGACCACAGCCAAUGAGCGUGAGCAGAUUUGCAUGGUGGACCAUUCUUCAGUUCCUUGGGGAUGUAAGAAAGAAGGAAGAUUCCAGACAGAUCUACACUCUUGCCUCACCUUUCACCACCAUGUCCUGGUCCCUGUUUCUUCUCAUGUUUCUCAGUUAUGCCUCAGGUGUCCAUUCCCAGGCAAGUGUGACUCAGCCUGCCUCCCAGUCUGCGUCCCUGGGCCAAACAGCAAAACUCACCUGUAGGAAAAGCAGUGGUGGUCGCUGAGGCAGCUUUUACUGGUAUCAACAGAGAUCUGGACAGGCCCUUCGCUUUGUGCACUGUAGUGGUUGCAGCAGAGGAGAAGGGAUCCCAGCUCGGUUCACUGGUUCUGCCUCUGGAGACAACGGCUACUUAACCACCACCAAUAUCCAGGCUGAAGAUGAGGCCGAUUAUUACUGUGCUAUCUGGUAUAGCACAGUGGUAGAGCAGAAUGGGGAACUGAGAGAAAAACCUUCCCCUGUCUUCCCCUGAGUGGAGAAGAGAAUCAGAGCUUCCCUUGCAGUUUUCCCAGAGGUGCACCGAGGUGAUUUUGGAGCCUGGAACUGAAGGCCUUUGGAGCCCCCCCCCAGCAAGUUAAGCAC
Hemicordylus capensis (graceful crag lizard) is the source of this 13233-nucleotide long non-coding RNA. RefSeq lists it as uncharacterized. NCBI's taxonomy places the organism in Eukaryota, Metazoa, Chordata, Lepidosauria, Squamata, Cordylidae. The transcript has 4 exons. The record is from RefSeq and is a predicted model, not a curated record.